CAUGCCCGAGUGGUCUAAGGGGGUCGUCUUAAGAACGACUGUUUAUACAAGCGCGUGGGUUCAAACCCCACUGGU
This 75-nucleotide transfer RNA is filed under the name Mantoniella antarctica. It matches the Rfam family "tRNA", at positions 6 to 67 of the family's 71-position model. From Rfam's summary of the family: Transfer RNA (tRNA) molecules are approximately 80 nucleotides in length. Their secondary structure includes four short double-helical elements and three loops (D, anti-codon, and T loops). Lineage: Eukaryota; Viridiplantae; Chlorophyta; Mamiellophyceae; Mamiellales; Mamiellaceae. The record is from RNAcentral.